RNAcentral lists this long non-coding RNA (1681 nucleotides) under Felis catus (domestic cat). Its description in RNAcentral is "lncRNA (ENSFCAG00000051220.1)". The record is from RNAcentral. Lineage: Eukaryota; Metazoa; Chordata; Mammalia; Carnivora; Felidae.
GGCUGGGGCAGGGAGGCUGCCCCGCUGUUGGAGGAAGAGGUGGAAGGCCUCCGGGGACCCAGGCGUGACCCACACAAGGUGGCAGGAGGAGGGUGCUGGGUGCAGAGGGGUCUGGCCCUCCCCUACUCACCCCCUGACCUGCAGGCUGGCAGGAGGCGGAGGGGAGCCUCAACGCCGCGGAGGGUUGAAGCCGGAGGCCUCGGAGAGGAGGUGACUGAGGCGGACGGUGGGUCCCAGACGGGCGUCCCACGGUACAUCGGUCAGCUGUGGCCGUGCGACAAACCACCCGGAACCUCAGCGGCACCGAACAAGAAGCAUUGGUUUCUUACGGCCCACCGGGCUUCAGCAAGAUCGAGGUUGGACCUGGCAGAUCUUGGCUUCCCCCUGAGGGCCGGGCCCGGGUCUGCCCCAUGCGUCCCUCUCGCUCUCUUUGGACGCGGCUACCCAAGGCGUGUUGUCCCAGUGAUGGCAGAAGGGCCGCUGGGAAAGCCUCGUGGGCAGGCACAUUCGAAGGUGCUCAUGGCGUGGUCGCCAGCAUCCCUCUGGCCAAAGCAAGUCACGUGGCCAUGUUGGACACCGACAGGUCGCAGAAAGGGAAGUGUGCAUCACCUUGGAGGAGACGGGCAGGGAGAGAAUGUUUUUUGCCCAAUAAUCUCAUCUGGUACAUUCUAUAAACUUUAAAAAUAUUUUUAAAAGUUUGUUUAUUUUGAGAGAGAGAGAGAGAGAGAGCGAGUGGGGAAGGGGCAGAGAGAGAGAAGGAGAGAGAGAGAAUCCCAAGCAGGCGCCGCACCAUCAGCACAGAGCCCGACACGGGGCUCGAACUCAUGAACCGUGAGAUCGUGACCUGAGCCAAAGUCAGACACUUAACUGACUGAGCCACCCAGGCGCCCCUUUUCUAUAAACUUUUGAACCAAAGAAGGCAUUUUCUUUUCCCCCUCCAAAACUCGAAAAUGACUGGUUGGGAUCAUGGCGUUCAGCAAAUCUUUCUGGAAAAUCAUCUUGGGGUCUUAGUCUGUACCUGGAGUGUCAUCGAGUGACCCUGUGGCUGCUGCCUCUUAUCACAGCCCGCCUGGCCCCAGCUUGCCUCUGCUCUCACUGCCUCCCCUGCGGGCCUGACCCGGACGAUGGACCUCAUUCAUCCCCGACACAAGUUGUUAAGAGAGAAAGAGAGACUUAAAAAAAAAGCCGCUGGGGUUCGAAUGCGGAUCCUGCCACUUAGAGGCCACGUGGCCUGGAGAAUGUUCUUUAGCCUCUUUAAGCCUUGGGCUCACUGUGCAUGAAAUGGGCAUGACAUUGGAACUUUUCUAAGCGUUUUUUAAGUUUUACUUUUAAUGUUAUUUAUUUUUUGAGAGAGAGAGCGCAAGCAGGGGAGGGGCCGAGAAAGGGGGAGACACAGAAUCCGAAGCAGGCUCCAGGCUCCGAGCUGUCAGCACAGAGCCCCACGCGGGGCUCGAACCCAGGAACCGUGAGAUCAUGACCUGAGCCAAAGUCGGACACUCAACCGACUGAGCCCCCCGGGCGCCCCGAGAACUUUUGGUCUUGUGAGGAUGAAGUUUGCACAAGAAAGUAAAGCCCUUAGUCGAAUUGUAGGAGCCCAGGAGGCUUUUGGUAGGUAUGAGGUUACAGCAGUCACGCCCCCACACUGGGACCCACCGUGUCCUUCCUGAUAAGUCCUGUGAUG